Long non-coding RNA from Dreissena polymorpha, 199 nucleotides. RefSeq lists it as uncharacterized. NCBI's taxonomy places the organism in Eukaryota, Metazoa, Mollusca, Bivalvia, Myida, Dreissenidae. The record is from RefSeq and is a predicted model, not a curated record. The transcript has 3 exons.
CACUUGCAGAACAUGAAGUUUGUCAACACGGACAAAGCGGUUUCUGUAACGACUUCAUACAAUGUCCGACUGGACAUACGUGUAUGUUCAGGAAGAACGGGGGUAUAGGAAAGUGCUGCACAAACGGAAAAGAUGCCGGAUCGGGAAUUGCAAGCAUCAUUGGGGCAGUUACCGGCGAACGUACAUCCGACACAAACAA